Molecule: long non-coding RNA, 2424 nt
Filed under: Gossypium barbadense (sea-island cotton)
Lineage: Eukaryota; Viridiplantae; Streptophyta; Magnoliopsida; Malvales; Malvaceae
Description: long non-coding RNA (GBAR_LNC007129)
Source: RNAcentral
UGGCUGAUCCCUUUCGUUGUAUGGCGUGCUCAUUUGGGUUGGGUGUCGGCUAAGAGUGCUCAGAGCGUGGAUUAACUCCAGUCUCCUAUCAGGUGUGUAUUUCACACUACUUUAGUUGUAGGAUGGCUACUUCGGGCAGCGAUGGGCCGAAAGGGGCCAUGUGGGCCCAAUGGGCCUACGAGCCCAAUUAGAUAAGUUGUUUGAUUGUGUAGUAAAUAUUGGACUAGGCUAGGUGAAUCUCAUAUUUGUGGCUAGAUUUGGGCUAAAAGGGCCACACGAGCGUGUGGGCCCAUUUGGGCCGAGAAUGGGCUUUAAGGCCAUUCGUAUUGUUAUCCCUAUUUAGAAUACUUUAAUUUACCAAUUAUAGAAAUGCCCUCGACUUGUAAAAUUACCAAAGUACCCUCGAUUUAUAAAAUUACUAUUUUAUCCUUGAUUUACAGAAUUACUGUUUUACCCUUGAUUUACAAAAUUACCAUUUUACCCUCGACUGUGAAAUUACUAAAAUACCCUUAUAGGGUAGAAUUACCAAAAUACCCUUAGUUUGUAAAAUUACCAAAAUACCACUGGUUUAUGAAAUUAUCGAAAUACCCUCAAUUUGUAAAAUUACCAAAAUACCCCUAAUUUACACAAUUACAGAAAUACCCUUGACUUUUUAGAAUUUAUAGAAAUACCAUUGGUUUACAAAAUUACUAAAAUACCCUUGUUUUGUACAUUUACAAAAACACCCUUGUAGUAUGAAAUGACUAAAAUACCCCUAAUAGGUAAAAAGACCGUAAAGCCUCUGUAGGGUAAAGUAACCAUAAUACCCCUGUAUGGUAAAAUGAUAAAUAUGCCCUUAUGUUCCGUAUGACUGAUGUGUUUAGGAUUUACAUAUAUUGAUAUUGGAUUAGUUAAGUUUGAGUGAUAGGUGGUGGUUAUCGUAGGUGAUUGAUUUUAGAAACGUUUGAACUUCAACCCAUAACAGGUGUGUAAUAACCCUCGCGUAGCUUAGAUUAAUACUCGCCGAAAAGCCGAAAUGCUAAAAUUUUGGCAUUUCGAAACUUGUGAUUUUGCCUUUGCUUAAAGAUACAAUAGAUAUGAUAUUAUCGGUGUUUGAAUCGAUGGAGCAGGUAAGAGCGUAAUUUUGUGCACGAUGGUAAGUUGGGCCUCAAUGGGCUGGAAUCGGGCCCAAUGGGCUUUCGGGCCCAUUUGGGUAAAACUGAUAGAAAAUGGAAUCUGGAAAAGUUUCAUGUUAACACGGUUAGUACUAUUGUAAAAUUUGGAUUAAGCAGGCUCAGUGGGCUAAAUAAGCGUUUGUAGGGCCCAUUAGGGGUUUUGGGCCCAAAAGCCCGAAUUUGAUAAAGUGGGUCAAAGAUCAUUGUUUAAACACUCGAAAAUAUUGAUAAUUGUUAAUGAACAUGGAAAACCCUGAUAUUUGGUAAAAUUAUGAAAUUACCCUUAUAAUAUGAAAAAUGACUGUUUUUGCCCUUGUGGGCAAGUGACUGACUUGGACUGUGUGGUUGAUAGAUUUGAUUGUGAAUAUAUGUUGGUGAUAUGAAUGACUUGACUGUGAUUGUUUGAUUCAAAUAUGGGCAUGACAUUCUGCAUACGUGACAUGUUGCAUGGGUUGGGUUUUAUAAAUGGAGGAAGUCCUAAAAGGGCUAUGCCCCAGUUUAUCGAAAAGGGCUUUGCCCCAGUUUAUCAAAAAGGACUUUGCGCCAGUUAUUAAAAGAGGCUAGUCCUCCAGUUAUAUGAUCAACCAGCUAUGCUGCCAGUGGAGAGUUUGGUUGGGUGGGUUGAGUUAUUCCCCACAUGGUGUGUUGGUUGGUACGGGUGGAGAGUAGCGGAUGGUGGGUUGAGUAGUCUCCCCAAAUGGGCUUGCAUACAUUCAUUGAUAUUACAUGUGAUAUUGAAAUGGGCCUAUGGGCCAUACCGCUUACAGUAAAGGCUUCGGCCAGUGAUAUGAUUUAUGAAAAGGCUUCGGCCUAGUAUAUGUCGAGACUGAAUUAGGGCUUAGGCCCAUAUUGAUACUGUUUAAGGGCUAAGGCCCAGACUUUACUGUUACUGAAUAGGGCUUUGGCCCAGAUUGUACUGACACUGUGUUAUUCACUGUUUGUUUGUUUUUGGGGAUUACACACUUAGUUUUGUAAACUCACCCCGUUUCUAACUGUGCAGGUAUUCCCUAAGCUUAGAUGGUUUGGAGCUCGAGGGACUCGGAAAUGGCCACACUACUGUUACUGUUUCUUUUAAUUGCAAUAAGUAACCUAUUUUUUUAUAGGUUUUAUCUUUAGUAAUAUUAUUAUUUGGUUUUGGGUUGUAAUAAGGCCAUUUUAAUUAUUUUUCUGGGAUUAUUUUAUUUUAUACCCUAUGUUUUACUGAUAACAAUCCAAAAUGGGUUAGACUGAGGGCGCGUUUCCAAAAUGAUAAUUGUUUUCAAAAUAACGC